GACGAACGCUGGCGGCGUGCCUAACACAUGCAAGUCGAACGGAGCACUUCGGUGCUUAGUGGCGAACGGGUGAGUAACGCGUGAGAAACCUGCCUCUCAGUGGGGGACAACAGUUGGAAACGACUGCUAAUACCGCAUAAUGUAUUCGGAAGGCAUCUUCUGAAUACCAAAGCUUUAUGUGCUGAGAGAUGGUCUCGCGUCUGAUUAGCUAGAUGGCGGGGUAACGGCCCACCAUGGCGACGAUCAGUAGCCGGUCUGAGAGGAUGAACGGCCACAUUGGGACUGAGAUACGGCCCAGACUCCUACGGGAGGCAGCAGUGGGGAAUAUUGGGCAAUGGGGGAAACCCUGACCCAGCAACGCCGCGUGAAGGAAGAAGGCCCUCGGGUUGUAAACUCUUUUACCAGGGACGAAGAAAGUGACGGUACCUGGAGAAAAAAGCAACGGCUAACUACGUG
RNAcentral lists this ribosomal RNA (456 nucleotides) under uncultured bacterium. RNAcentral's name for it is "bacterial SSU rRNA". It matches the Rfam family "Bacterial small subunit ribosomal RNA", at positions 28 to 507 of the family's 1533-position model. The record is from RNAcentral.